UGGCGGGCAAGCGAUGUACCUGCUUGGAGAGCGACUGCGCUCGAAUCAUUUCCUCGUCGUGGAUUUCGGGGGAGUCGGGCGCUACGGGAAAACCAAGCGUGUUUUGGAAGGGCUGUCCUGAGAUCCUUGCGGGAUCGGUUGGAUGCCUUUGGCUAUUCGCUAUUCGAGGAAUUGUCUGGGAUCAAGUGAGCGGGCAGCUUUACCUCCAGCUUCCUUCGCUUCCGGAGGGAUCGAUGAAGCUUUCUUCGGGACCGGCAGAGAGUUUGCGAUGGAUCCUGGUUAAGAAGAAGUCGUGGGAGUUCAGAUGAAAUUACCUUUGUUCCUGUAAAUCUUAAUCUCUUCUGCCCAGUCCCGAGAACCGAAAGUGUGGAGUGGAAGGGAUCUAACGAGAUUAGUUUAGCCCUUCCCACCGUCUUCUUUUCUUCCUCUCGGCCAAAUGGAUCUAUCCUUGGAGAGCUCUUUCCGCCUAGAAAUGAUACUGCCAUGGAUAUAUAUAUAUACAUACACACACAUACGGUAUACAUCUGCCUCUUGGGGGGGGGGGAAGCAGGGACGUCUUGGGGGCGAAGACGCCUCUAUUUCUUACCGGACCGACCAAGGAAAGUCACCGGUGGAUGCCUGCCUGUUUUUUCUCUGAUCUGGAUAUAACGCUUCGCAGUGAUGCUUUCCUUCUCUCGCCCCCACUCCCUCUUCCCUGAGUCCUGGCGUUUUGCCAUACAUAGAUAAGCUUGGAGGCGCCUUUGGCAUCCCGUGUUUGUGGAAUAUAAUGGGCGGCUGCCUCCUGUCACUUUGUUCUCCGUGGAAGGCGGCGCGGAAGGAUUAUGUGCCAGAAGGAAAAUGAAAAUAGGGAUCCAGAAAGAUGCUGACAGAAAGGCUGUCUCUGGAGAAGAUAUAAAUCCAUCAUCUAAACAUAUCUUCAUAUCUUUUCAACUUUGCCGAAGUUUUGAACUAAGCUUCAGAAAACCAUAGAACUGUGAAUGGUACCUCGAAUUUAGCUUUGGAAUAAAUUUAAGUAGAGAUACAUUAGAAAUUUACCUUCUCUGCAUAAUGUUUAUGCACAAAAAUGGAAGGACACUUUGAUUCCCACAAUGGAUGAAUGGCUGCAAAACUUGAUGGAAUUAGCAGAGAUGGCUAAAUUGACUGCUUUGAUUAAAGGAAAAAAAAAACACAAUUACUUUUGUUUCUACUUGGAAACCACGUCUGGACUUCGUACUUGAGAUGGAAAAAAAAAUGAAAUUUUGAUUUGAGGUUUUACCAAUUAGAUAGGUUUGUUGUUAUAGAAAUGACUAGUUCAUAUUAUUACGUAAAAGUAAAAAGUUGAGGUUUGAUGCUGUUAUCUUAUUCUGUUCCACCAAAGGGAGUCAUAAGCCUUUUCUUUCUUCUCCCUCUUUCCCUUAUACUUUUCUCUUUCCUUCUCCAUCCCUUACUUUCCUACUACUUUCUUUGGUAUUUUUGUAUUUUAUAUUAUAAACUAAUAAAAAAAUCAAAAUAAAUUUAUCGUCUCUGAAAAGUAAAGGAAUUAAACACUU
Pantherophis guttatus is the source of this 1529-nucleotide long non-coding RNA. RefSeq lists it as uncharacterized. The record is from RefSeq and is a predicted model, not a curated record. NCBI's taxonomy places the organism in Eukaryota, Metazoa, Chordata, Lepidosauria, Squamata, Colubridae.